Molecule: ribosomal RNA, 253 nt
Filed under: uncultured bacterium
Lineage: Bacteria
Description: partial 16S ribosomal RNA
Rfam family: Bacterial small subunit ribosomal RNA
Source: RNAcentral
AACGUAGGUUCCGAGCGUUAUCCGGAUUUACUGGGCGUAAAGCGCGUUCAGGCGGUUUGGCAAGUCGGGCAUGAAAUCUCUCGGCUCAACCGGGAGAGGUUGUCCGAUACUGCUGGACUUGAGGGCAGUAGAGGGUGGUGGAAUUCCGGGUGUAGUGGUGAAAUGCGUAGAUAUCCGGAGGAACACCAGUGGCGAAGGCGGCAUCCUGGACCGGUAUUGACGCUGAGGCGCGAAAGCUAGGGGAGCGAACAGG